AAUCGAUCAGCAGUCGCUCGUUCAUAAAUUUAUUACCGUCUAGCGCACACAUUGUGUUGGUGUUUCAAUUUAUAAAUGGUGAGUGAAAUUUCACGAUUUUAUUGCAGAUUUUGUUGUUUUGCUUUUGUUGUUUUGUGUUUAUGAUGUUUAUAAUUCAUUGUCAAUGUGUUUGCGCCAGGGUAAGACGAGAAAAACACGAAAAUUUGCGGCUGUUAAAAGGAUCAUCUCGGCCAAUGAUCCCAGGAUGUGAGUUUACUGAAUUCUUGAUAAGUUGGUUAUUGUUGAUUCAGUCAAUCAGAUAAUGUUUAUGAGAGCAACGAGACAUUGACCCGAUAUUAUACUAGAGCCGGAUCAUUACAUUUGUCUUUCAAUACAUCUUCCUUGGUUUUUACUCGUUUCCAACCACCAAACUGACAUAAGUAG
This is a non-coding RNA of Paramuricea clavata, 423 nucleotides long. Lineage: Eukaryota; Metazoa; Cnidaria; Anthozoa; Malacalcyonacea; Plexauridae. The record is from the annotation of a GenBank genome assembly.